UAAUACGUAGGUGGCAAGCGUUGUCCGGAUUUAUUGGGCGUAAAGCGCGCGCAGGCGGCUAUGUAAGUCUGGUGUUAAAGCCCGGAGCUCAACUCCGGUUCGCAUCGGAAACUGUGUAGCUUGAGUGCAGAAGAGGAAAGCGGUAUUCCACGUGUAGCGGUGAAAUGCGUAGAGAUGUGGAGGAACACCAGUGGCGAAGGCGGCUUUCUGGUCUGUAACUGACGCUGAGGCGCGAAAGCGUGGGGAGCAAACAGGAUUAGAUACCCUGGUAGUCCACGCCGUAAACGAUGAGUGCUAGGUGUUGGGGGUUUCAAUACCCUCAGUGCCGCAGCUAACGCAAUAAGCACUCCGCCUGGGGAGUACGCUCGCAAGAGUGAAACUCAAAUGAAUUGACGG
RNAcentral lists this ribosomal RNA (396 nucleotides) under uncultured bacterium. RNAcentral describes it as "bacterial SSU rRNA". It matches the Rfam family "Bacterial small subunit ribosomal RNA", at positions 521 to 916 of the family's 1533-position model. The record is from RNAcentral.